GCUCAAUGGUUCAGUGCUUAUACGUUAGGCUUGAGACCAGAGGGUCUUGGGUUCGAAUCCCAGCUAGAGCA
This 71-nucleotide transfer RNA is filed under the name Rhamnusium bicolor. RNAcentral describes it as "tRNA-OTHER". Lineage: Eukaryota; Metazoa; Arthropoda; Insecta; Coleoptera; Cerambycidae. The record is from RNAcentral.